RNAcentral lists this long non-coding RNA (2600 nucleotides) under Homo sapiens (human). Its description in RNAcentral is "HSALNT0386636". Lineage: Eukaryota; Metazoa; Chordata; Mammalia; Primates; Hominidae. The record is from RNAcentral.
UCCAUGCGAUGUGUUCCCAGGAAAACUGCUUCACCUCUCAGAGCCUUGGCUUACUUGGUGAUACAAGUUUUUGUCGUUAGGAAAACUACAUGAGAUAAUCCCUGCACAAUGCAUUUAGCACAGUGCCAGGCACUGCAGGGCUCAGUAAAUGUGACUUUCCCCAGUGCAUGGAUUGUUGAGGGACCUACAUCCCCGCACUUACACACACUCCCUAGAGGUCCCAAGAGGCCCAGGCUUUUGGGAGGGAGUUUGGAGAGGGGCCCCAGCUCCAGCCCCAAAGCAAGAGUGCAAGACACCCCUUCCAGCCCCAGCUCCCUUCCAGUGCCCAGGUGCUCUUAGGGUCUGUGAUGUCCAGGGUCUCACAGGGUUCUGGGCUGGAGCUGGAGGGGGUUGAGGGGUGGGCCCCAGCAGAGGCCUCAUGCUCCCCUUCUCCCAGGCCCCUUCCAGAGGCACUGGGCCAGAUCAAAGGGACCCAGCACGGAGGAUCAGGAGGCAGCUUGGAAAGAAUGUAAACAUGAGGAUAUUUUUAAACUUUUUCCAGCCCCAGCGAUUAGGGCUCUUGAAGCCGGAGGCCCAGAGGUCAGUCUGGCCCUCACCCACAAAGAAAGCAACAGUCUCGGGCCCUCAGAGACCCCACCCCACCCACAUCUACCUACACCCACCCAGGACUCUAGCUGGGGCCUCGGGGCAGAAGUUCUUCCUAGGGUGUCACCUCCAGACACACUGCUGCGGCGGGAGGAUGCGUUUCUAAUAAUUUUGGCCAGAAACAAGAGGAGUCCUGUCCGAGGAGAGCCCGGCUGGCUGACUGGAAUCCCAAGACAUGCCAAGGUCCCUGGGAAAUGACAGGACACCCAGAUCUGCUGGGAGCAGAGUUCUCAUAGGGUCCCAGCUGAGCCCUGGAACUCCCCAGACCCCCUCUGCCACUCCAUCUCUGCGUCAGCCCAGCACCUGUGCCCUAUCCGGCUUUGGCCACCAUCUCCACCCUGGGGAGGGGGAGCAUAACCCCCUCCAGCCUGAGGUUGGCGCCAAGGUUUAGGAGCCAGCACAGAAGCCUCUGAGAGCCAUAAGGGUAGAAAAGGUUACCCGGUACUAAACCAGCCAGCCUCGGGGUGAUCUCAUCCACUUCCCAAGAUAAGCCCCCUCCCCCACCCUCUGGCCACUGGCCAACAGGGUAAGUCACGAGGGAGCUGGUGGAAGAGUGUGUGUGAGGGCUGGGGGAAGGAUUUCAACUUGGGGUCACACUGUACAUUCUGUUUUGUGAUCAAUUCCCCCCAACAUUUACAGUAUUGACAAUUAGCAGUUUCCUGUCAGAUAAACUAUAAAGAUCUUCCCCCAUCACUUUUUCUUUUCCUAAUUAUUUCUAAAGUCUGCCAGGAUGGACACAUCAGAAUCUCUUUGUCCAGCCCUUGAGGAGGACAUGUAAACAGUGUCCAGUUUCUCUUUCUUACAAACACCAGUGCCAUAACCAUUUUUGUUCAAAUCCUCUUACGCAAUUGCCUCUCUCUCUCUCUCCCUUUCUCUCUUUCUCUCUCCCUCUCUCUAUUUCUCACUCAGUUGAGAUAAAUUCUGCCUGGUAGCAGGUGGGAGGGCAGGCCUCACUGUGUGCCUGAGUAGUUCUGGGCCCUUCCCCAAGCCAGAGGUGCCAGGCCCAGGGCAGAGGCCAGUCCAGGGCCACAGGGUCAGGACAGUGGACAGGCUAUGGUCUGCUGGACUCUGCCUGCUCGAGGCGGGCUCCCCAAGCUUCCACCUGCUCUUGCCCACCCCCAGCCCCAAGGACUAGGCUGGCCUGGACACAGGGAAAGGCCAUAUACAGGGUAUCACAUGACCCAUGCGUGCACACAGCCCCCAAUCCCAGGCAUAGGCAGAGGUCCCAGCCUCAGGGUGGGGCCCCCACACUCCGUCCAAUUCACAUCUUGCCUAGUGCUCCCCAGCUCUUGCUAGAAUGCUUCCAUAGACCAACAGCUCACUCUCCCUCCUAAGUUGCUGCCCGGCCUUUGGGGAGCAGGUGGAGCACAUGCUUCUUAUCAAAUCAAUACCUAUUCGGUAGAAUCACAUGAUUGCUGAGGAAGGUUUGGAUUCAGACACCAGGGUUUCAAACUCGACUCUGCAUUUACUAUUUUUGUGACCUUGGGCACAACCUUUUACAUGCCCAGGCUCAGUUUCUUCAUCUGUAAAAUGGGUUAAUAAUACUUGAUCAUAGGGUUGCAUGAAGAUUAAAUGAGAUAAUACAUGUAAAGUGCUCAGCAAGGCUCACAGAUGUGACCUAGUUUAUGAUCACAAAUUAUCACAAAUUGAGUCCCUACUAUGUCCAGUUAACAGAGAGACUCCCUCACUGGAAGCAACUCAGAGUGGCUGAAGCACAGAAGUGGUAGAGGUAUGAGAUGGGGUUGAAGAGUGGGCAGGGCCAGGUCACACUCAGCCUUGCACAUCAUGAAGGGAUUGUGACAUUUUUCUGACUCCUUGGAAGCAGGGGAGGAUGGUGGGAGGCAGAAAUGGGAGGAUGUCACUGAAAGCUUUUAUUAUUUUUUUUAAUGAUUUGUUUGUUUGUUUGUUUGUUUGUUUUAGAGACAGGUCUCUAUUGCUCAGGCUGGAGUGCAGUG